This 1481-nucleotide ribosomal RNA is filed under the name metagenome. RNAcentral's name for it is "bacterial LSU rRNA". It matches the Rfam family "Bacterial large subunit ribosomal RNA", at positions 1470 to 2925 of the family's 2925-position model. The record is from RNAcentral.
UGACGCAGGAAGGUAGCCCAGCCCAGGCGAUGGUAGUCCUGGGGUAAGCAUGUAGGGAGGACCGUAGGUAAAUCCGCGGUUCAUUAAUCCUGAGAUGUGAUGCCGAGCCGAUUGUGGCGAAGUGGGUGAUCCUAUGCUGCCGAGAAAAGCCUCUAGUGAGUGUCGUGGCGGCCCGUACCCCAAACCGACUCAGGUGGUCAGGUAGAGAAUACCAAGGCGAUCGGGUGAACUGUGGUUAAGGAACUCGGCAAAUUGCCCCCGUAACUUCGGGAGAAGGGGGGCCUCCGCUGGUGAUCAGACUUGCUUUGUGAGCUGGUGGGGGUCGCAGAGGCCAGGGGGAAGCGACUGUUUACUAAAAACACAGGUCCGUGCGAAGUCGUAAGACGAUGUAUACGGACUGACGCCUGCCCGGUGCUGGAACGUUUAGGGGACCGGUUAGCGCAUCCUUUGGGGUGUGCGAGGCUGAGAACUUAAGCGCCAGUAAACGGCGGUGGUAACUAUAACCAUCCUAAGGUAGCGAAAUUCCUUGUCGGGUAAGUUCCGACCUGCACGAAUGGCGUAACGACUUCCCCGCUGUCUCAACCGCAGACCCGGCGAAAUUGCACUACGAGUAAAGAUGCUCGUUACGCGCAGCAGGACGGAAAGACCCCGGGACCUUCACUACAGCUUGACAUUGGCGUUUGGAACGUCUUGUGUAGGAUAGGUGGGAGACUGUGAAGCUGUCACGCUAGUGGCGGUGGAGUCAUUGGUGAAAUACCACUCUGGUCGUUUUGAACGUCUAACUUCGGUCCGUGAUCCUGAUCAGGGACAGUGUCUGGUGGGUAGUUUAACUGGGGCGGUUGCCUCCUAAAGAGUAACGGAGGCGCCCAAAGGUUCCCUCAGCCUGGUUGGUAAUCAGGUGUAGAGUGUAAGUGCACAAGGGAGCUUGACUGUGAGACCGACGGGUCGAGCAGGAGCGAAAGCUGGGACUAGUGAUCCGGCGGUGGCAUGUGGAAGCGCCGUCGCUCAACGGCUAAAAGGUACCCCGGGGAUAACAGGCUGAUCUUCCCCAAGAGUCCAUAUCGACGGGAUGGUUUGGCACCUCGAUGUCGGCUCGUCGCAUCCUGGGGCUGGAGUAGGUCCCAAGGGUUGGGCUGUUCGCCCAUUAAAGCGGUACGCGAGCUGGGUUUAGAACGUCGCGAGACAGUUCGGUCCCUAUCCGCUGCGCGCGCAGGAGACUUGAAAGGAGCUGUCCCUAGUACGAGAGGACCGGGACGGACGAACCUCUGGUGUGCCAGUUGUUCCGCCAGGAGCAUGGCUGGUUGGCUACGUUCGGAGGGGAUAACCGCUGAAAGCAUCUAAGCGGGAAGCUCGCCUUGAGAUGAGGUCUCCCACCACGAGAGUGGGUAAGGCCCCCGGGAGACGACCGGGUUGAUAGGCCGGAGGUGGAAGCAUGGCAACGUGUGGAGCUGACCGGUACUAAUAGGCCGAGGACUUGACCG